CAGCCGUAAACUAUGCUCGCUAGGUGUCAGGCAUGGCGCGACCGUGUCUGGUGCCGCAGGGAAGCCGUGAAGCGAGCUACCUGGGAAGUACGGUCGCAAGGCUGAACUUAAAGGAAUUGGCGGGGGGAGCACAACAACGGGUGGAGCCUGCGGUUUAAUUGGACUCAACGCCGGACAACUCACCGGGGGACGACAGCAAUAUGUAGGCCAGGCUGAAGACCUUGCCUGAAUCGCUGAGAGGUGGUGCAUGGCGUAGACGUCU
Molecule: ribosomal RNA, 262 nt
Filed under: uncultured archaeon
Lineage: Archaea
Description: partial 16S ribosomal RNA
Rfam family: Archaeal small subunit ribosomal RNA
Source: RNAcentral